GGUCGUAUAGCUUAAUGGUUAGAGCAGACUCCUUAUAAGGGUAAGACUCGAGUUCAAUUCUCGAUACGACUACCA
RNAcentral lists this transfer RNA (75 nucleotides) under bacterium. Its description in RNAcentral is "tRNA-Ile". It matches the Rfam family "tRNA". Rfam says of the family: Transfer RNA (tRNA) molecules are approximately 80 nucleotides in length. Their secondary structure includes four short double-helical elements and three loops (D, anti-codon, and T loops). Further hydrogen bonds mediate the characteristic L-shaped molecular structure. tRNAs have two regions of fundamental functional importance: the anti-codon, which is responsible for specific mRNA codon recognition, and the 3' end, to which the tRNAs corresponding amino acid is attached (by aminoacyl-tRNA synthetases). tRNAs cope with the degeneracy of the genetic code in two manners: having more than one tRNA (with a specific anti-codon) for a particular amino acid; and 'wobble' base-pairing, i.e. permitting non-standard base-pairing at the 3rd anti-codon position. The record is from RNAcentral.